This is a non-coding RNA of Acanthosepion pharaonis, 103 nucleotides long. Lineage: Eukaryota; Metazoa; Mollusca; Cephalopoda; Sepiida; Sepiidae. The record is from the annotation of a GenBank genome assembly.
CCAUGUUGCAUUGAAGCACCAGUUCUCAUAUGAUCACCAAUGUUAAGCAAUGUUGAGCAUGGUCAGUACCUAGAUGGGUGACUGCUUGGGAAUUCCAGCUGCU